AGCGUAAUAGCUCACUGGUCGAGUCGGCCUGCGCGGAAGAUGUAACGGGGCUAAACCAUGCACCGAAGCUGCGGCAGCGAACGUAUCACUUAAAGCGAUUCAGCGGGUUACGAUUGACGGAGCGAAGCGACGUCAAAGCGUAUACAAAGUCGAGUCGGUUUAAGGAUACGUUCGUUGGGUAGGGGAGCGUUCUGUAAGCCUGUGAAGGUGGCCUGUGAGGGUUGCUGGAGGUAUCAGAAGUGCGAAUGCUGACAUAAGUAACGAUA
RNAcentral lists this ribosomal RNA (266 nucleotides) under Salmonella enterica subsp. enterica serovar Dublin. RNAcentral describes it as "partial 23S ribosomal RNA". It matches the Rfam family "Bacterial large subunit ribosomal RNA", at positions 1131 to 1314 of the family's 2925-position model. The record is from RNAcentral. Lineage: Bacteria; Pseudomonadati; Pseudomonadota; Gammaproteobacteria; Enterobacterales; Enterobacteriaceae.